This 21-nucleotide microRNA is filed under the name Ciona intestinalis (vase tunicate). Its description in RNAcentral is "cin-miR-4189-5p". The record is from miRBase by way of RNAcentral. Lineage: Eukaryota; Metazoa; Chordata; Ascidiacea; Phlebobranchia; Cionidae.
ACGUGCGUGGUAGUUUAACCU